This is a long non-coding RNA of Capsicum annuum, 867 nucleotides long. RefSeq lists it as uncharacterized. The transcript is spliced from 2 exons. Lineage: Eukaryota; Viridiplantae; Streptophyta; Magnoliopsida; Solanales; Solanaceae. The record is from RefSeq and is a predicted model, not a curated record.
AUUGAAUCGGCAUGUUUAGGUAUUUGUUUCUUUAUUCUGUAUGUUUUGUGUUUUUGUUGCUUAUUAGGUAAAAGAAAAUAGCUCAUUCAGGGUAGUCUAGAAUAAGCAAUUGUAUCCCAUGUAAAUAUUGGUUUUGAGGGAGGCCCGUGAGGAAAACUCUCUCGACGUAAGUUAGCAGGAUUUUCCAUCGUACACUAAUUAGUGUAUUCACCAAGGAAUGGCGGCAGAAUUCUGACAAGAGUGCAAAUUCAAUGGUAGAUUAGUCACUCCUAACAUAGGACAGGAUCAAAGGUCUUCUGCUAUCACUUUUGGAAGUUUUCUACCUGUUUAUUUUCAGUCAAUUAAGGAGGAGGCUAAAGAUUAUAUGUCUGACACCGUCUACCAACCUUCAAUCAAACUUAAACCUUAUGGUGGAGGAAUAUCUAAAUCACAAUCAGCGAUGCAUAAGCUUUAAUUCUAAUAUUGGGGGAUCAUCUCGUGCUACACCAAUGGAAACAAGGAAGAACCUGGAAAAUUGAGUUGGUCAAGAAGGUAUUAAUGAAGUAGAUGAAGAAAUAAUGGGACAAUGGAAUGUGUAUAGCAUAUGACACAAGAGAGAGUAGCAGUCUGGACCAAAUGUGAUGCCUAGAAACUAUGUCCAAGACUAGUUUGUCAUUUAUAAUUAGUUCAGGGACUUUGAAGGUAAUUGUGAGAGAAAAGAUUAUUAAAAGGCUUAAUGCUGAAUUUUUAUUCAUUAUUGAAUAAUUUUGUAUUAUUUGGGAUUGGAGAGAGGCGGCUUACACCAAGGGAAAAAUGUUAUUCAUCUUCUCCACCAAGAUCGUUCUAGUUUUUGGUAUGAUGAAUAUUUCUAUUGUGAUUUCCGUUUUA